UGUCCCCAGAUGUUCCACAGCAACAAGGAAGAGUAUGGCCAUCCCCGGGACUUGCUCAGACUUGGGCUUAAGGAUCCAUCCAAAUAAGUGACAGAGAGGAAGCUUUUGGCUGGAAUGAGAUGGGGGAACGGAGACUCCAGAAGGACGGCAUCCCCGAAAAAGCAAAAGUCGCUUCAGCAGCACCCAACCCCCCGCAUCGAGUCACCGGCUUCCCUGAAGCCGUCGUCCUCGCCUUGCGCGCCCGCCUCCACCGGCGUGCCCAGGUCCCGACACUGUAGACA
Long non-coding RNA from Bubalus bubalis (water buffalo), 281 nucleotides. RefSeq lists it as uncharacterized. The transcript is spliced from 3 exons. The record is from RefSeq and is a predicted model, not a curated record. NCBI's taxonomy places the organism in Eukaryota, Metazoa, Chordata, Mammalia, Artiodactyla, Bovidae.